RNAcentral lists this ribosomal RNA (1445 nucleotides) under Streptomyces phaeochromogenes. Its description in RNAcentral is "bacterial SSU rRNA". It matches the Rfam family "Bacterial small subunit ribosomal RNA". Lineage: Bacteria; Bacillati; Actinomycetota; Actinomycetes; Kitasatosporales; Streptomycetaceae. The record is from RNAcentral.
GCUUACACAUGCAAGUCGAACGAUGAAGCCCUUCGGGGUGGAUUAGUGGCGAACGGGUGAGUAACACGUGGGCAAUCUGCCCUUCACUCUGGGACAAGCCCUGGAAACGGGGUCUAAUACCGGAUAAUACCUGCCUGGGCAUCUGGGUGGGUUAAAAGCUCCGGCGGUGAAGGAUGAGCCCGCGGCCUAUCAGCUUGUUGGUGAGGUAGUGGCUCACCAAGGCGACGACGGGUAGCCGGCCUGAGAGGGCGACCGGCCACACUGGGACUGAGACACGGCCCAGACUCCUACGGGAGGCAGCAGUGGGGAAUAUUGCACAAUGGGCGAAAGCCUGAUGCAGCGACGCCGCGUGAGGGAUGACGGCCUUCGGGUUGUAAACCUCUUUCAGCAGGGAAGAAGCGAAAGUGACGGUACCUGCAGAAGAAGCGCCGGCUAACUACGUGCCAGCAGCCGCGGUAAUACGUAGGGCGCAAGCGUUGUCCGGAAUUAUUGGGCGUAAAGAGCUCGUAGGCGGCUUGUCACGUCGGUUGUGAAAGCCCGGGGCUUAACCCCGGGUCUGCAGUCGAUACGGGCAGGCUAGAGUGUGGUAGGGGAGAUCGGAAUUCCUGGUGUAGCGGUGAAAUGCGCAGAUAUCAGGAGGAACACCGGUGGCGAAGGCGGAUCUCUGGGCCAUUACUGACGCUGAGGAGCGAAAGCGUGGGGAGCGAACAGGAUUAGAUACCCUGGUAGUCCACGCCGUAAACGGUGGGAACUAGGUGUUGGCGACAUUCCACGUCGUCGGUGCCGCAGCUAACGCAUUAAGUUCCCCGCCUGGGGAGUACGGCCGCAAGGCUAAAACUCAAAGGAAUUGACGGGGGCCCGCACAAGCAGCGGAGCAUGUGGCUUAAUUUGACGCAACGCGAAGAACCUUACCAAGGCUUGACAUCGCCCGGAAAGCAUCAGAGAUGGUGCCCCCCUUGUGGUCGGGUGACAGGUGGUGCAUGGCUGUCGUCAGCUCGUGUCGUGAGAUGUUGGGUUAAGUCCCGCAACGAGCGCAACCCUUGUUCUGUGUUGCCAGCAUGCCCUUCGGGGUGAUGGGGACUCACAGGAGACUGCCGGGGUCAACUCGGAGGAAGGUGGGGAGGACGUCAAGUCAUCAUGCCCCUUAUGUCUUGGGCUGCACACGUGCUACAAUGGCAGGUACAAUGAGCUGCGAUGCCGCGAGGCGGAGCGAAUCUCAAAAAGCCUGUCUCAGUUCGGAUUGGGGUCUGCAACUCGACCCCAUGAAGUCGGAGUUGCUAGUAAUCGCAGAUCAGCAUUGCUGCGGUGAAUACGUUCCCGGGCCUUGUACACACCGCCCGUCACGUCACGAAAGUCGGUAACACCCGAAGCCGGUGGCCCAACCCCCUUGUGGGGAGGGAGCUGUCGAAGGUGGGACUGGCGAUUGGGACGAAGUCGUAACAUGC